This is a long non-coding RNA of Equus caballus (horse), 2970 nucleotides long. Lineage: Eukaryota; Metazoa; Chordata; Mammalia; Perissodactyla; Equidae. The record is from Ensembl.
GGUGGAGUGUGGUGCGUGUGCAGCCUCCGGAGGCAUCUGCUCCUGGGUCCCUGAUUCUGAGUGUGAUCCGCUGCCUUCCUGCGUGUUUCCCUAUGACUGCCUGAGCGAACAUUCUAGAGCUCACUCGUGGCAAGACUGACUGCCUCAGUGGCAAGUUGCAGAGAAUGAGUGUGUUUUGUCCUUGCCCACAAGGCUUAUGAAGAGCUGUAAAGAGUUCCUCUGUGACUUGUGUAUCCCUUCUCUGUAUGUGUCUCUCAAACAUUCAUCAAGUGGCAGCCAGGGUCAAGAUACAAUGACAAGCGUGGCAGUCCAUACCCUCAGGGGUGUGGUGUCAUCAGGAAGGACUGUAUUGUCAACAAAUCACAGCAAAAAAUGGCAAAGCUGUGAUGAUUCAAGCUCGUAUAAAUUACUGAGAAGAGGGAAGCUAGGUAGAGUUCAGGUCCCUGAGGAAGUUGAGGAAGAUGGUACUUUUAGUCCAGGAAAUGAAGUUUGGGUGGGGUUUUCCAGAAAACAAAUGAGAUCAGGUUACUCAGGGCAGAGGAAACAGCAGGUGAAAAGACAAAAGCCUGCCCUGCUUGGAGAAUUGUUUAGUAGCUCAAUGUGGCUGGAGCAUCAUUUAGAGGGAUGGCGGUCAAGAGUGAAUGGGAUAAUUGAUUAUAAAGUUUAUAGAGAUGGAAAUAAUUGCUAAAAGGAAAAACAAAGCAACAAUGUGCAAAACAAAAUAAGGUCCCACCCCAUUCACUGAUCUGUGCUUUGACACUGCCUUUCUUUGAAAUUUUUUGAAAGAGAUGAAUCACCCAGAAUUUCUAAUGGUGGGAUUUUUAUUUUAAAGAUGGAUUUCUUUUUUCAGAGGAAAAUCAAACUGAGAUUAUCUGGGGUGUUUUAUCAACAGGAUUAAAAUUCUGGGUUUUACUGUAUGAUUUCACUCAUGUGGAAGAUAAACAAAUACAUGGACACAUGCCCCUCACCCCACCUGCUAUGGACUGAAUUCUAUCCCUCCAAAGAUGUUAUAGUCCUAACCUCUAGCACCUGUGGAUGAGACCAUAUUCGGAAGUAGAGUCUUUGAAGAAGAUCAAAUUAACAUGAGGUCAUUAGGACGGGCCCUUACCCAACACGACCAUCUCCUAAAAGGGGAAAAUUUGGAAACAGAUAUGCACACAGAAAGAACAUCAUGUGAACACGAAGGCAGAGAUUGGGAUGAUGCUUCUACAAACCAAGGAAUGCCAGAAAUUUCCAGCAACCACCAGAUGCUAAGAGAGAGGCUUGGAACAGUUUCUCCUUUACAACCCCCAGAGGGAACUAAACCUACUGACAUCUUGAUUUCAGACUUCUAGACUCCAGAACUGUGAGACAAUAAAUUUCCAUUGUUUAAGCCACUCAGUUUGUUGCCCUUUGUUACAGCAGCCCCAGGAAACUGACACAGUACCAGAUUUCGGAAGCAGCUUUGCUGCAGCCUGGGAUAGAUGGGAGAAAGGAGUGCCUGAGAGUGGGAUGCCUGCCUGAUGGGGAGAGAAUUUAAGAUAGAUGGGAAGUAUACAUGGAAAGCUCAGAGGAAUGGCACUCUAGAGGGUUCUGAGCUACAUAAGAUGACUAUCCAGAUCAGACCUGGCUCUUUGGUACUUUUCAAAGAAAACUGAUUUUAUGACAAUGCAACUGAAAGGGCUUUAGAUUGGAGAGUACUGUAGAACUCAAAUAAGUGCUUCUUCGGUAAUCAAAAUAAGUUCAUUCUUGAGUGAGGGAAUAUGUAUUUAAUGUAGCCAUCCAAGGAAAUCAUGCGACAUGGACUUUCAAAGCAUGUGCUUCACAAAAGAAAGGAAUGAUUAUCCGCUUCUUUCCUAAAAGUUGAAUAGCUGUCAUUUGUUCACACCGAGGAGGCUCUGCAAUGUGGCUUUAGACUGCUGUGCUUGUGGGUCAUACGGCAGCAUCUUCACGAAACAUGGAUGCAAAAUAAGCACUGUCUUAUGAUCCAUUUCAGUCCUCUAAAACUACAACAGAAGAGACAAAAGGAGUAAGAUGACCCUCCAAAGAAGUUAUCCCAAUAUGAAAUGUCUCUCCAUGGAGAUUUGCUGAAAAUCAAUAUAAACUCAGCGUACUGGACAUGAACUUGGACAGGCUAUUAAAAAGCCAAUUCUGUCAUUAAGUAUGUAUCUUUGGGCAAUGCUAUUCAAACUCUCUGUGUCCAGUUUCCUCAAAUGUAAAAUGAAUUUAAUAUUUAUAUCAUAGCAUUAUUGUGAGAAAUACGUAAUACACGGGAAAAUGCAUGAAACAGUUCCUGACAAUAUUGAAUGUUGGCAAAACAUUAUAUGCUCAUUCGAUUCUACAGGCAUUCAUUCAUUGAUUGCCUGGGAGACUGCUUAAUUGACUGCAUGAGUGAAUGACACAAAUCUAUGCUUAAACAGAAUUAUAAGAGCAGAAUGAAUAGAUGAUAACUCAACAACUAAGCUCUAGGCCAAAUUAAAUGUCAGGGGACUGUGAUGCUCUUUACCUCCUACUGGUCUCAGAUAAGGGGGUUGUUUCAUCAGGAUACAUCUCUAAGAGUGCAGAUGAUGCUAUGGUGAGAGGUUGUUCUACUGCACAUAAUUAAAUGAAACUAGGUAGAUGAACAGCAGGCCCAGAAAGGCUAUCAUGUGAUGCUUGGAAGCCAAGAAGGUCUAUGAUAUAACCUGAUAUAAUCCUGAGGUCCAGAAGGGUCUGGAGUGGUGGGAUCUAAAUAAUCGUGUUCAUUUUAAGAGGACAGUCCUGUCUUUAAGUAAAGGCCUUGGAUUGGGUCCUAUAUACAAUAAAUAGUGAGUAAAUAUUUAUGAAACAGACGAUAACGGUGUUCUUGGAAGACCCAUGACAGAGUCUUUAGGAACCAAUUUUAUUGGAUAAAAGAUGUUUUAGUUCAGCUUGGACUCUCCCAAUUUUACAGACUGCAUUAUCCCACAGAAAAAUCACAGUCUGGCUGCUUGGAAAUAAUCAGUAGUGACC